UAUAGCAUGCAUCAGUAUGGGUGCGAAAGCUUCUUCUAUCAAGUUUAACAACUUUCUGGUGUAACUUCUGAGAGGGCCGAUUGCUUAUUCAUGCGGAAGCAAGACGCCCAGUUCAUUUUGCCUGUUUUUGCUACUCUUUGUUGGGUUUGGGAGGCUGUUAUGGUAGCUGCAAAUGGCUUCUCAAGUGACAUUUGCUGACAUUCAGUGAAGUACAUUUAUCAGUAUUCGCCAGCUCACCUCUACACAUGCAAUCCAUUUUGUUUUGUUCUUCAUAGCAACCUCCUUUCCGACACCCGUGCCCUGAAAAUGAUAAAUGGCAAGGUGGCAUAUUUCUCAAGCUGCACUCAAAUGUCACUGUGAAAAAUCUUUAAUGGACUAAGUGUAGCUCUUCACGUUACAACUUGUCAGGUACUGAGAAAUUCUAGAGUUUCUCCUUAAUCCACAAGUCUUUGGAACCACACAUCUGCAAGCAGAGACUAAUUAUAAGCUGUACCAGUCAGACCUGGGCAAGCAGAAACCGAGGAGAAAACACCUGAUAUCAGCUAAUUCUUUUUUAUUCUUACUCUUGUUCCAUUUUCGCUACUUCCUUUCCUACUCAAAGAAUAUGCCAGGUAUGAGCAAUUUGUUACUCUAAGUGGGGGAUGGUCUCCCCCCCAGCCCCUCCCCCCACCCCAAGCAGGCCUGUAAUCCAGUUAUACAAUCAGCUUUCUCCAUAAUAGCUUUUUCUCUUCUCCUUCAAGACUCAACAUCUCUAGGACUUCUCCCCUCUCCCCCGCCAACCUCGCCCCUCAAAUAUACUCCACCUGAUUCUGAAUCGUAAAUCCUGGCUCCUAAAUGUUGGCUGUGAUGGGGCGGUUCAGAGGCGUCUGAGACAUCUGGCUGGAAGGGUCCUCUCUCCUGCCUCCUUAGCCAUCCCUUUUCAGCGUAUUUGGUCAUCCUUCAGAUCUCCACUACCACCAUGCCGUUUUCGCAGGGAGCAGCCCACAGACACUCACUCAUCCCUGAAUAUGGCUCAGUCGCUCAGGUGCUACCUUUUCCUAGUCCCUGGAGUGUGCUCCAAGGAGGAAGCAGCCCUUGCCCACUGUCGUCAGGGGAGAAUUUGGUUUGCGCGUGUUUGGGAUGUGUUCCAAUGAGGGCAUCAUCGUCAAUUCACACUGAUUUUACAAUCAGUGUUUGAAGGUCAAAGGAAUUGAGAAAGGGGUAACUGAAGCCAAGGAAAAGAAGUGGUACCACCCACAACCGUACCGGCCAAGUUCAUCUUUGGCCAGAUGCUAGAUUGGGAUGUUCUUGGUUUUACACCUGUCCCUUAAAGCCCCAUCCAAGCUCUAACUUUGAUAUUUGCUUCUAGAUUCCUUGGUUUGGGCAUUUCCUGGGCUCUCCUGUUUUUUCUCUAAUAUCAUCCUUGGCUUUUCUUCUCCCUUAGGCUUAGCCUCCAGUCUCUUGGGCUGAAUAAGUGUCUUAUCUGUCUCUUAGACCUCAAGGACCCUUCCAACAAGUAAAGAAAGGUCUUUGGCCACAUAGAGGCUCAAGAACCUAAUAGUCUAACAGUCUAAA
This 1554-nucleotide long non-coding RNA is filed under the name Lynx pardinus (Iberian lynx). Lineage: Eukaryota; Metazoa; Chordata; Mammalia; Carnivora; Felidae. The record is from RNAcentral.